CAAACUUUAAGGAUCAAAAUUAUAAAAAUGGAUAGUUCCACUGAAUUUUACAUAAUUCUAAUCAUGAACAAAAUAAACUUAGAAUUAUUCAAUCAUUACAUCUGGCUAAAUAUUCUAAUAAUCGCAGCUAUAACUUCAUUGAAAAGCUACACAAAUACUCAUGUUAAACCCCAUAAUCUGUAUAUCAAGUGAAAGAAGAAAGGUAUAACUGACAUUACAAUGUAUCAUUAUUUACACUCAAACUCCAAAUAAGCUACAUAAAUAGGCUUGUGUAACUAUGAGUCUCACAAUUAUCAUUUCAUAAUACAUUUAAAUAAAAGUAGUUCCUAACUGCAGCCUAAUAAAUACAGCUCCUCUACGAGAUCAUUGACUUUCAGAUUACGCCUGACUCUUUAACGAUGCUCUUGGAUGCUAUUUUGGCCUCAAUGUUUACAGAUUUGGCCAACUAUAGUCAAAUAUGCAAAAUAUGGCACUGUGGACAGUAAACAACAAUUCAUUCUUAUUCCUAAUUUUAAUAGGAAACAUCUUAACAUAUUCAGAGUAUGGUAAUGGCACUUUACUUGAAUUCUAUGUACAAGUAAUCCAUGACAGCACACAAAUCAACAAACAACCAUUCAAACUCUGAAGGAGAAGACAAAUUCAGACUUCAAACUAGAGCUUGCAGUUAUAAAAUGCAAUUUAUAAGACAAAAAGUGAAGAACUAUUGCAAUUUUUCAUGGUAAUAUAGUAUCAUAAUGACAGAUACGUCAUUAGAGAUUAGAAGUAGUACCUUGACAGCAGUAAAAACAACAAGAAAAUAAGAUUCUGACUUGAAGAAAUGCAGCUAAACAGAGUCAGCUACAGCUUAAUCAAAUAGUAGCCAAACAGUAAAAAUGAAGCUUCCACGAAAUUUCAAACCCAGAAUUUGAAAAGAAACAACUGUCCAAUGAUGAAGCAAGCUAAUGAAUACCUUUGGUUAUUUUUUUUGUUUCUAAAAUCCCAAAUUUGGUUUUCUAGAAAAUUUUUCUUUACUAAAAAUGAAAAAUGAAGAAUAGUGGACUCUUAGAAAUUAGUGAGGAAAUGCAAGGAGGAAUUCUAACUUGAGAGUGCUUUUUCGUGUGUAAAAAUCUAUCUGAAUGAAGGGUAUGUCAGGCUUCUUAUAUAGACAAAGGAUGAGGGAAUAAUUCUGGGGAAUGCAGUCCCUAAAAAUAUGAAAGAGCAUAUUUUGAAACUGAAUUGGGACAGUUGUUCAGAUAUUUACUCACCUUUUUUCAGCCCUUUUACUUCUGAUUUUAACACUUUUAACCCCAAAAUUUGAUCUAAUUUCUUAUUUUUUAAUGCACAUUAGUCCCUUCUUGAGACUCCCCUAACAACUGAAAAAGAUUCCAUAUUUUCAAUGCCCUUAAGCCCCCUUAAGUUUCAGUUGUUACUUCUUAAAACUCCCAAACAAAAAACCUUUCCUAAUGUUUACAAACAGCUUCAGCAAGAAAAUCAAACAUAUCCAAAGAUAAAAAGUCAAAACAAGACAAACAAAUGCAAUUGUGCAAUAAAUAAAAAUAGAAAAUUGUUUUAACAUUCCAACACGACUAAAUUGACCAAUCAUUUAAUUAAACUAUCUACUAAUCUACUGAACUAAAACACAAAACUAAACAAUCUUAAAUCCUAACAUGCUGACAGAUUUUUCUAACAAAUCAAAAUUCAUGAAAAUCAAAGAACAAAGAGACAAGCAAAUGGUAGAUUAUUACCUAAAUACAACAAGAAAAACUUUUGACAAAUACUUGGCCAAUCAUAGAGUCCGAACAUCUCCGAAAUGCUCUGAAAGUAACACUAAUCGAUUGUUCUUGCCAAAAAAAAUCGAUUAGCAUAAGUUUCGAGUCAAAACGGGUAUUGAAACUCAGAAAAUCAGAAAGAGGAGGAAACUGGGGUUUCUGCCCCUUUUUAGAUCUAAAAUUCGGCAAAUUUGGUGGGUAUCUUGGGAAACUAGUGGGAGAUUAGUGAUGAGGGAGGUAAGAUUUGGGGUGGUUUGGAGCAUUGCCGCCGCCGUGGGCGAUUUCCGGGGCGGCCAGUGGCGGAGGUUUAGAGAGAGGUGAACGGGGGGAAAUGGAUGUCUUCUCUAGGGUUUGGGGGGGUCCCCGACAUUUUUAGGGGGAAUGGAGAGUUAGUUGCGACCCGUUGGAUAAAAAAUGAUA
RNAcentral lists this long non-coding RNA (2168 nucleotides) under Nicotiana tabacum (common tobacco). RNAcentral describes it as "long non-coding RNA (NTAB_LNC005145)". Lineage: Eukaryota; Viridiplantae; Streptophyta; Magnoliopsida; Solanales; Solanaceae. The record is from RNAcentral.